GCAAGCAGUUCAAAGCAGAGGAAUCCAUCAAUAUAUCCAUUUCCUCCCAAAGUAAAUCGACUCCUUGAUUGAGCAUUACUUGUUGAGUUAUUAUUCAUUGAUACAUCAGUUUAUACAGUUUGUUGUGAUAACUAUGGAAGAAGCUGUAGUUUGGUUUUAUCUUUGUCUUCACCGGCACUGGGAUGAAGAUAGGAAUUCUGGCAAUGAUGCUAAAAAAAAAUUAUGUAACAUUCCAACAGGUACUAAGAAAACAAUUUUCUGAACAAUUUACAUUAUCCUGAAGAGAAUUAUUAAAUAUAAU
RNAcentral lists this long non-coding RNA (301 nucleotides) under Marmota monax (woodchuck). The record is from RNAcentral. Lineage: Eukaryota; Metazoa; Chordata; Mammalia; Rodentia; Sciuridae.